RNAcentral lists this unclassified non-coding RNA (219 nucleotides) under Ascomycota sp. RNAcentral describes it as "partial contains small subunit ribosomal RNA, internal transcribed spacer 1, and 5.8S ribosomal RNA". The stretch from base 1 to 47 matches the Rfam family "Eukaryotic small subunit ribosomal RNA", at positions 1785 to 1831 of the family's 1831-position model. The record is from RNAcentral. Lineage: Eukaryota; Fungi; Ascomycota.
AAAGUCGUAACAAGGUCUCCGUUGGUGAACCUGCGGAAGGAUCAUUAACGUGGGGCUCCGGCCCCGCCGAGAUAGAACCCUUGCCUUUUGAGUACCACACGUUUCCUCGGCAGGCCCGCCUGCCAAUGGGGACCCAAACACAAACCUUUGAAUCACCUGUCACAGUCUGAGAAAACAAAACAAAAAUCAAAACUUUCAACAACGGAUCUCUUGGUUCUG